This 253-nucleotide ribosomal RNA is filed under the name uncultured bacterium. Its description in RNAcentral is "partial 16S ribosomal RNA". It matches the Rfam family "Bacterial small subunit ribosomal RNA", at positions 524 to 776 of the family's 1533-position model. The record is from RNAcentral.
UACGUAGGGUGCGAGCGUUAAUCGGGAUUACUGGGCGUAAAGCGUGCGCAGGCGGUUUUGUAAGCCAGAUGUGAAAUCCCCGGGCUCAACCUGGGAAUGGCAUUUGGGACUGCAAGGCUUGAGUGCGGCAGAGGAGACUGGAAUUCCUGGUGUAGCAGUGAAAUGCGUAGAUAUCAGGAGGAAUACCGAUGGCGAAGGCAGGUCUCUGGGCUGACACUGACGCUCAUGCACGAAAGCGUGGGGAGCAAACAGG